AUCACGCCUUUCUGUUUACAAAAUCUUAACAUGUGUUCAGCGGACAGCCGAACAAACAAGUAAUUAUGAAAGCAAUGUGCGUGAAAUAUUUCGAAGCAUCCCAAAUGUCAAGCACCUAACAAUAGGCGAAUUUACCAUGAAUGUAAGCCAUGACUCAAAUUCCAAUCCUGCUUAUUGCUUUCUAAUUGUUAUACCAUCAAUUGCUUUCUUGGUCACAACUUAUAGCUGUCUUCAUACGUUUGCAGUCUUUGGGUGAAUCUCUUGAUAGCAGGCUGCCAGUGUUUCAGAACUUGGUCCACCUGGAGAUCAGUUUUUAUGUAGCGAACGGCGCUAUACUGCUGCCAAGUUUGCUCAAAAUCUCUCCUAAACUGGAAAGCCUUAUCUUGCCUCAGGUACAUUACAUAAGAGACUUGCACAAUUUUGAGAGAAAUAUGGUGAGCGUUGAGCACUCCUGUUUUCUUUUGACCAAAAGUUGAUUUGUUUGUAAUUUUUUUUCCCUAUGUCCUGGAUUUCAGGGGAUUACCAGUCCAAAUGUAAUCGGGUGGUUUAACCCUGAGGAGAAUCAAGUUAAGCCUCCGCAAGACGUACCUGAAUGCCUGCUAUUUCGCCUGAAAAAUGUGGAAAUUUCGCGAAUUACUGGAAGAGUAGAGGAAGAAGUGGAGGUGUUGAUAUAUCUUCUGGGAAAUGCAAUGGUUCUAGAGAAGAUGACGAUUUGGUACGAAGAAUAUUAUGUUUCCGGUGGACCGAUGGAUACUACUAAUUAUCCAACUGCUCGUCGGGUGCAGGAUCGUUUAUCUUUCACUGACAAAUUGAUGAACUGCACUAGGGGAUCUGCUGCUUGUCAACUUGACAUACAAAUGCCUGAACUACAACUCUGAGCUCUGAACUUGCGACAGAAUGUUGGUAUUGUAUUGUACAUAUCUGCACUUGUUUCUUGUGCAUUAGGAAGAAAGUGAAGAAUCUGUGCGUAAAUAAAUACUUAUAGUAUUCGAAUUUUAUAGGUAUCAGAUUUAUUUUUAAGAUUAUCCUACUCUAAAUGACAUACGACUUAUACAAUAGAUACAAACUAAAUAAUCACUCACCUAACUUUAGAAAUUCCCAUAUUUAUAUCCAUCACUCAAACAUGUAUUUUUUAAUAUCAUUUUGCAAGUGAGCUCUUAUUUUUGGAUCACUUUAUCCUCUUGAUAUUUUAAUUUUUCUCUAUAUAACACUCUUAGCCUUUUUUUUUCCUGUUAGUAUUGUCUUCUAUUAAAACAAAUUAAUACAUAAAUCUCCUCCCCAACUACUUUAAAGUGAAAGUCUAAGAACUGCCGCAUGCUGUUUGAAGAACCCCCAUGUUUUUAAACUCAUAUCGGACCGGGUGGUCCAAUCGGUCAAAUAAAAAAUUGGCCGGACAUCUGGUCCGAGUCAACUUAAAUAACAGCAUUUUCAAAAGUUCAGUCAAAAUCAUUCAAAGAUCAGGUUUGACCAGGCACUAGUGAAACCGAAACCUGGUUUUUCCAUUUUCAUAUAUUUUGAUGAUUUUUUCCCCUUCCCUUCCUUUGAUCUUUGGCUAGAGGCUAAAAACUAAUCUAAAAAGAGAAAAGAGCAAAAAUGGGAAGAGAAGAAAUUGAACUGCCAGAUGCAAUACUAAUUAUCCACUCCACGGGUAGAUUUCCCUUGUCAUCCGAAAAUGUGAGACUGAUAUGGAAUUUCUGGACCUUGUAUAGAUGGGUUAACCUUUUCGUAUCAGCGGCCUAAUUGGAUUAACUUCAGUAAGUCUACAUUGUCGUUUAAAGUUUGAUAAUGAAAAUCACUAUUGCUUUUGAAAUUUCCCACAGGCCUAAGAACAAUACCAGAAAACUCAGUAUCCAUAGCUACAUAAGGAUAGUCAUCCACAAUUUCUCGGAUAUAUGCAAACACUUCUUCAAGAUUAUCAUUCCAUAGCUCCCGAAUUUGAACUGAUUCAUUUGUAGGCAAAAGUGACACCUUUCUUUUUAACUGUUUCAAACAAAAUCUACGCAAAAUUUCUUUCAAAGAACCUAAUCAUCAGAGAUCCUUGAGAUUACCAGAACCUAUACCCAAUCUAUUGGACAACCCUCCAAUUCCAACAGAUCUACAAGAAAGUCAAAACCCAGAAAAAUCAGCCCAGAAAGCAACAAUUAAUCAAAACCUACAGAGCAUUGGCUAGGGGCUAAGAACUAAUCUUAAAAAAAAAAAAAAAACAAAAAUGGGAAUGUGAUAAAAGAAAAGAGAGAGUUAUGGUGUAGUCUAGAGGAAGAAGAAGAAGACAAAAUAAUAAUAAUAAUAAUAAUAAUAAUAAUAGAGAGCAAGUGACGGUUGCUCCUCCUUAUUCCUUGGCUGUUCCUUCACGUGAGUUUCCUUCUCAGAAGCCAUGAAUCAAAAUUAACUUAUAAAAACCAAAAGGCUUUAUCGGGACUCAAGAGAACAAGGCUUCCUAGGAAGAACAAGAAAUUGAAGGAUAGAUCAUACCAAGUAAGUGACGGCCCAACAAAGGAAACAACAAGUAUUAGGUUUAACAUUUAUUUGUUUUGAAUGCCCUAAAACUUUCUAAUAAUUGUGUUUCAGACUUUUAUAGUUUUAUUAAAAUGUAAAAUUAACCUAUCACAUUUUCCAAAUUACUUUAUUACUUAUGGCUUUUAAAACUAUUUAAGUAGAGUCCUUUUAGACUAAAUCUAAACUCAUAAAACAACUAUGUAAAGUUGUAAACCCCUAAAUUAUUUAAGAGGAACUUUUAUGUAUUAUUUUAAUUAUGCAUCAUUAAUAUAUAUUUAUGACGUAUUUAUAACGUCAUCCAAUUCAACUCCCAGUUGGACUCGAUCGAAUUCAUUGACCCCUGACCCCUGAGUUUGGCUAAGUCAAUACCUGGUCUGAGUCUGAAAACAUUAGAAGAAACUAGAGAAAUCGAAAGAUUUUAUACUUAUUCAAUGGAAUGCACUCGAACAACAAGUUGCUACUUUUUAUGAUUUAUACAAGCUUGGAAACACGAAAUAAGAAAUGAAAUAUUUAAAUUUUGGAUUGCAUUAAAUUGUUUGAGCAAUUUAAGGAGAUCUAUAUAUCUUCUGGUUACCUUGAAUUUAACAUGGGAUUAGAUAUAUUAAUGGGUUGGGUCUGGAUGGAUCUGUAUUGUUAGAUCUAGAUUUUAGACCUAUUAAAUUUUUUUCAUAACCACGUCUACACAAACUUUAUGAAUUUGAAAACUAGUUUAAAAUAAUUAGGGGUGUUAAUCGGGUUCUAUGAGUUGGACAUUGACAAAUUCAAGCUUAGUUCAAAAAAUAAAUAGGGCUUUCAAGCGUUCGAGUUCAUAAUAUAGACACACAUAUGCACUAGCCGGACCAUAAUCAGGAUUGAGUCUAAUAAAAUCCAAACUUGACUCACAUUUAUUUUGGGCAUAUUAUUUAGGCCCAAACUUUACUCAACCCUAAUAAACAUAAGGCUCCUUGGACUUUUUUGGGGCUAAACUAAAAAAAAUAAGUGAUAGUUUGGAUAUGUGUAAAGCCAUCCAAAUGGUCAUCCAUACUACUCAUACCAUAUUUUGUCUCUCUUUUACUAAUGGCAGAAAUUACAUCAUCAAAAGAUAUCAAAGGACAAAUCUGAAUUUGGUUGUACUUGUGGGGUUAGCUUAGGUGUAGCUUGUGAAAAUUCUUGCUAAAAAGAAAAAAUUGACCUGUUGGUGAGGUUUAAAGACUAGAGUGAAUGAGUGUUAUUUAGAACUUAGUAGAGGUUCCCUGCUCCCUUGCCCUGAGUCCCACAUCGAAUAGUUAGAGUGUGCGUGAGUUCCACUUAAAUUCCAUGGGUGCAACCAGAAGUCAGCAAUUGCCUUUUGGUUGUACUUGUGGGGUUAGUUUAGGUGUAGUUUGUGAAAAUUCUUGCUAAAAAAAAGGACAAAUCUGAAGAAUGGAUACUCUAGAUCUACAGAAAAUAAAAACUACACUAUACAGCUCUAAAAAAUAUUUUAAAAAUAAGAUAAAAUAGUUGUAAUCCCACGAAUAUUUGUGCUUGCUUUCAAUUACCAGAUCUACUAACUAUUUCAAAUCUAGAUAUUAUAGUGAAAUUCAUCAAAUAGACCCAAGAAUUCGAUAUCUAAUAAUUAGAAUAUGAAAAAAACUCAGAUUUAAUAAAGAAAAGGGGGAAAAAACUAUGUAAAAUUCUCACUAGAAAUUUCAAGCAAAAAAUAAAACUCUCACUAGAAAAAGAGAGAAGAAAACUCUCACUAAAUAACACUACAAAAGAAGAAACUCUCACUAAAAAAUCCUAGAAGAGAUUUUAUUUAGACAAACAAAAAGAAACAAUAUAGAGGAUUCCUCUUAUGGGGAAAGAUCAGAAAAAUCUGAUCUCUCUCCCAUGGGAGAGUUGGAGGAAGUUUUAAAACCUUCCACUCCUAUUUCCAAGCCAAUCUUCGGCCUCUCUUUAAAUUUGCUAUACCAUAUUUUCUCUCAAUGGCAUUUUUAGUACAAAGGAAUGAUAAAAUUCAAGUGAUAUAUAUUUUCCAUUUUCCCUUCCAAAAGGAGACUACUAAUAAUGUUGAAAAAUUAUGGAAGAAAAUGCAAAAACCAUUCUCACUCUUUCAAUUUGCAUAACUUGCAUUUUGCACUCACAUUACAGAUUCGUUUAUUGAAGUGACUAAAUCAAACUUGAUGAACAUUCAAUAACGGUACAACAUAAUUCAUUAAUUUCAGUAAAAUAUUUUCAUAACCACCAAAAAAGAGGGUAAAAAACAACCAAAAUGAUCCAACAAAGGGGUCAAUAGCUACUAGAGUACUAGUAAUAUUGUGGUAGGACAGGCGAAGAGAAACAUGUUAUUGCACUAGAUACAACAGAGGGGAUGAGAAAUCAAAAGUACUUAAAUUGGAGCUAAAUAAAAAACACUAGUAUACCAUUUUCAAGGGUUGAAUAUGCAAAUUAAAAUAAGGGUAACCAUUUUAUACAUUGUCAAUGUAUAAUUGUUUUUACACUAGUAAGGUUAUAACUAGGGCUGCAAACGAGUCGAGCCGAGUCGAGCUUUGAGCUAAUCGAGUCGAGCUUUAGCUAAAUUUUAUCAAGCUCGAGCUCGAGCUCGAGCUCGACGAGCUGGCAAUUUUCGAGCUCGAGCUCGAAAAAAAUAAAAAAAUUUUUUUUAUUUUUUAAAAAAAUAAAUAAAAUAAUAUUUUUUUCUGAAUAAAUAAUAAAAUAUUAAGGAUAUAUCCGUAAUUUCACUAUGAAAAUAAAAAAUAAAAAAAUAUAUAUAUAAUAUACGUAAUUUUAUUAUUAAAUAAAAAUAAAAAUAAAAUAUAUAUAUAUAUAUUCAAGCUCGCGAACCGGCUCGCGAGCUAACGAGCUUAAUAUUCUGAGCUCGAGUUCGAGCUCGAGUUUGACUCGAGCUCGACUCGAGCUCGAUUAAUGUCGAGCUCGACUCGAGCUUGACUCGAGCCGCUCGCGAGCGGCUCGCGAGCGGCUCGAUUCGUUUGCAGCCCUAGUUAUAACAUACCACAUAACUUGAGUUCAAAUUUGAAAUUCAAAUCAUGCGCAUGUGCUAACGAGCGCGGGAUAUACAUAUAACAAUUAACUCAUCCACCAUCAAGUUUUACAUUUAUAAUAUUUUAAAUACCCCACAAGUGAUUUUUCACAAGUAUACGAGUCGUUUAUUGAGUAUAAGGGUAUUAGGUGUCGAUCCUAUAGGGAAGAAUUUCAAUUACCGGUGAUUUUUGAAUUCCUUUAUUAUUUAGACUAUCACAAGCACAAGAAAUUAAAUUUACACUAUAAAAUUAACAAAAAUACAAUAGAAAGCUCCUAGAGGUAUGAAAUUUCUUACUACUCUUGCAAAUGACAUUACUGGUUAAGUGAAUGCUCCUAGAGUAAUUUUCUAAUAUAUGUGAAAGCUCCUAGAGUAAUUUUCUAAUAUAUGUGAAACCGACUCUUGUAGUGAAUUAACUUACUUGUAAUUAAAUCAUACAUACUCUCUUGGUUAUGAAAUUAACUACAAAUUCAUUUCUUUCAUGAAAUUACAUGAAACAAGUCACCAAAACCACAUUGGUGCUCCUCUACUCUCGUGAGUAAACUCCCUAGAUUUAUCACUUUCUUGAACUAAUGGUAAAUUCUAAUUCUCAUUGCAAACUUAACACCUUAAGAUUGUCACAAUUAAUGACUGGUUAAUCAUGAGUAGCUAAACAAAAGUGAUAAAUAACUUGUUCAAAAUAAUAGCACCAAAUAACCAAAUAAACAUCACUAACAAGAUAUAGCAAGUUCAUCCACACUCUAGACAGAAACUUUAGAAACACAAAUCCAAAACUUACAUAUUAACCAUAUUUAAGAAUCCAAUACAAAAGAUAAAGAGUUGGAAAAGAGAUAACUCUUGUCACAUGAGUUUCAACCCCUCCUUUUUCAUCCUAAUCUAGUCAAUACACAAGAGUGGGUAAUACACAUAACUAUCUAAACUAUUCUAUACUAUACUAACCUAACUAAUGAACUAAGGAAAUUCUAAUGAAGACUACAUUUUUGGUAAGUUUCUCUAGCCUUUCAAAGUUUUAAAAUGGUCUCCAAAGGCUGCUAUUUAUAGAGAAUUCAACUCAAGGUGAGUUGUUUCUUGGUUGGCAAAGUUGGCUUUUGAACUCACCAAGAGUUGUUCUCUAAAUUUUCACACUCUUCUUGGUCAGAUACAGCCGAAUUCUGAGUUGUAGAUGAGUCAGAAAAGUUGUGUAAAUGCAAAACAAGUUGUAGAGCAAGUUGCAGCAGAAAAACUAGAAUAUGCAACCUCAAAUACGCUACCUUACGUUGCGUAUUGCAUCUCACAUAUUGCCUUUUGUAGGUUUGCGCUUUUUGGGCAGAAUUCAUCUUUGCUCUGUUUUUUGUCCAAUUUCAACUGAUAUUUUCUCAAUGAUGAAAGUCGAACUAACUCUUGUACGAACAUAAAAGUUGUAGGACUUGAGUUAGCUUUCCAAUGCCUUAAGAAUUAUCCAAUUUGGAGCUCUGUGGACCGAUAAAUGACCAAAAUAGCCUCGAAUGGUUAGAACUCUGUUUCAGCUUUCGACCAUGAAAAUGUACUUUGGUAUUUUGAUAUUUUGACUAAGACAAUGACCAAACUGGACUUUGAUAUCUUCAUAGAAAAUGGAGUUCUAUCUCUUAAUUUCAAAAUGGUGUAUGAAUUACCUCAAUCUGAUACUUGUAACUCAAGAUAUAGCCAAAACACCACAGGGUAUCAAAGCUGUGAAACUUCCUUCUUGUAUACUAAGUUGCAUUUCAUCUCUUGCACUUCAUAUUCUCUUUUUAUCAUUUCAAACCAUCAUCAAUCAUCCAAUUAUCUUUUCAACUCACUCCAUUUGAUGAUUGAAUUUUUAAACCUACAAAAAUAAGAAGUUUUCACUAUUAAAAUCCAUAAAAAUAUAAUUUUUAACACUUAAAUCACAAAAUGCAUAUUUUCACUGACAACUUAGUUCAGUAGCUAUAAAAGUAAUUAAAACAUACCAAAACUAAUUAAUAAAACACACUAAAAACAUAUAAAAUACACACUUAUAAAACUCUCCCAUAUUUAAACCAUUACUUAUUCUCAAGCAAUAAAAAUUACAAACCGACAAUGAUCCAACAUUUUGAAAAUAAACAUAUGUGCACAAUUCAACUUCAUUUCCUAAAAAUAAGGUAAAUAACCAUUAUACAAUCACUCCAUUAAGCUCAAGUACUCAUAAUAUCAAGUAAAGAAGAGCCAAUUAUACCAUAAUUGUAACUAGUUCACGUCAAUUUCUCAUCCUUAUCCAAUUCCACAAGCAAGUAACUCAUAUGGUCAAUAAAAUAUUUCUAAACCCAUGAUCAUCUUUUUAUUCAAACUUAAAGAGAGAUUUAUUCAUAUAACAUAGCUAAAUAUUACUCAAGUUAUGAAAGUGCCUUUUUACGAGAAAAUCGAUAUUUUUAGAUGAAAAUUGCCGGUUACUCAACACUUUACAUACUGAAGUUGUGUUGCAUACUGUUAAUUUAAGUACCAUUUUACGCAAAAGUCGACAUUUGUAGAAGAAAACUCUCAGUUAUUAAGUACAAGAACCAUUGGAGUAGAACAACUUUUAUUCUCGUUUUUCUUUUUUUUUCUUCUCCUUUUUUUCAAAGUAAAGAUAAUAAUCAUUCCCUCAAAAGAAUAAUCAUGAGAAGAGUGUUACACUUAUUGACUAAAUUAAUCACUUAACUAUGUAAAAUCAAGUAAAGAGAAGAAAUUUCAUCAAUUUGCAAAAUUUAGGCAUAAUUAUCUCUACUUUGCAAGAUAUACUUUCCUAUAAAUACAUAAAUUAUAAUCAAAUAAUAAUUAUUUUCAAGUUAAAUAAGAAAAGAAGUUUUCAAGUCACAUAUAUUUAUCUCAAAAGUAGAAAGAAUUUGAAUUACUGAUGGUAUGAAACUUGUUACCCCUUGGAUAAAAUUGAAAAAAAUUUGAAAUCUUUUGAUGCAAAUUUGUAAUUUUGGAAAAAAUUUGGCAGAGUUUUCCCUUAAAACUGGACGAAACUCCCUACCAACAAAUCCAAUUUUGAACAAAUUAAAAAACAAGAAAUAUUUCCAAGGCAAAUCUAAAUCAUUUCCAUCACAAGUCAAUCACAACCAACAUAUAUAAUAUCAAUUCUCCCUCCUCCCCCGCAACACUUAAAAUACACAUUGUCCGCAAUGUGUAAAAAGGGAAACUAAGAUAAAAAAAAAAAAAAAGAAUACUCCCAUAUAGUUGUGAUUGAAAUGUGUAACAUUGAAUCUUCACAAUCCAUUGUCCGUGUUUCUUCAAAGUUUCAUGAGUUCCAUUGGAAUCCAUUAGUAAUACAACCUAAAAUGCAAAAUAGCAAAUAAACUAGGUAAGGGUCAAUGAUGCAAAAAGGUGACAAAGGCAUGAAGAAAAUUUUGCAAAUAACUCUUUGCCAAAGUCUCUCACAUCAUCACACCACAUUUCCCAAACUCUUUAAACAUUUAGCACAAUUAUCAAGAAUAUUUAGCACAUUUUUUCUAUAGGUAAUUAUAACAUCACCAUAUAAUAACGAAAUUAGGAGCAAAACUCAAUCUAAGAACAUACAUUAUGCACAUGUUCAAUUUUACCCUUAAAUUAUCACCAAAAUUGCUAAAUUCUUCACAUAUUUAAAAUUCAUUAUCCAAUCAUACUCUAUAUGAAGAUUAAGCAAUUAAAUAGUCUAAAAUUCACCGUAUAAUGAAUGUGUACAUGUAAGCAUCAUAAACACGUCACAUUUUAGCAAUUUCAACCAUCCAAUUAUGUUUAACAACAUUUCAAGACCAAGUACCUCAUUGAUCAUAAAAUAGGAAAGUACAUAAAGUGAAAUAUUGCAUAAAUCACCACAUUCCCACAUUUGAUCAUCUAAACAUGCUUAGAGAUGUUACAUAAGCAUAAGGGAGCUUAUAUGCAUCAACAAAUAACAUCACCAAUUCACCAUUCAAAGUGUAUCAAUAAAACUCUACAAGAUAUGUAAAUAGUAAAUAUUAACAUACGAAAUUAAGUUCAAGAAAUUUACCUCAAGUUGGUAGAGUGAUGUUUGGUGAUGUAAAUAAUGCAAAAAUCCUAUGAAAUUCACCCCAAUUAACCUCCAAUUGCUUGAAAUAGAAACUAUGAAUCCUAACCUUCAAUCGAUUUUUGAGAUGUUUUUCUUGAAUUCUAAUCGGUUAAAAUGACUCUAUGAAGGUCAAAUGAUGUUUGUUGGAUGAUUUCUUGCAAGAAAAUGGUGUAUAAGAGGAAAUUGGUGAAGUGUGUGUGAGAAAAUAUGAGGAGAAGAAAAAGAAGAGCAUGAACAAGGAACCUGCGUUUUUCUUUAAAAAAGCUAAAAAUGCGAGUUCAUAAAAUGCAGCCUUGAAGUCGCGUUUUUACGAUUCGUGUUUUCUGAUGUAAUUUUGCUAGACCAAAUACGUGACUUCUGAAAACGCGACUUUAAGUCGCAUUUUGAAGCUUGCAUUUUCUUCUUUAUUUUUGCAGAAUGGAAUACACGACUUGAGAUCACAUAUUUAUGAGCUUACGUUUUCUUCACUCUAUAGUGUUGCUGCAAAAAUUUCUGAACUUUUCAAAAAUUAUGCUUUUAUCCCAAUUACUCAAAAUGCAUCCUAGAUCAUUUUUUUGCCAAAAUAAUCAAUACACGCACAUGUAAAAUGAUCAAAAACAUGUAUUCUACCCCUUCAUAACGAAUCAAAAACAGCAUUUGCUCAAAUUGAGGGGUGGAGUUUCUUGAUCAAACUUCGCCUUUUUCACCUCAAAGGGUCACAUUUGCUUCUAUUUCCCAAACUUACAAAUAAAAACAACAAAACAAUUUAAACACAUGAUUUAAACAUAAAAUCACACCAAAUUAACCUAAAUUACCAAAAUAUUGGGUUGCCUCCCAAUUAGCGCUUUUGGUUAUAGUCGUUGGUUCGACUAUUGAAGCUCAUUUUUCAAGAAGGUUUGGUUAAUGAAUAAUCCAUCAUUUUAGGUCGUGGUGGAUCAUUAAAAUGUGACUUUAUGACAAAAGCAACAUAAUCAAAUGAUAAGAGAGAUGAAAGUGAUUUACCUAUCUCAAGUGAUUCAUAGAUAUUACCUUGAAUGUGUAUCACUUAAGAACGCACCAAAGGAACGUCCGCGUGGCUUUCUUGGGGAAUAAUACCUUUAAAAUCUAUACUCUCAAUACAUUCCUCAAGAGGGGUGAAAAAUGAGUCGUUAAGUCUCACCUCUUGAGGUUUAAGAUUUGCUCCAAAGGUACUAUCAUGUGAAAUGGAUAUUUUCUUAUUGAAACACAAUUGAGAUUCAUCAUUUUCAUCAAAAUAUAAUCCAUUUUCACAUACAACAUUCCUACCAUUCAUGCUAGGGUCAUUUUGCAUAUCAUCAGAAGAAAUAACUUCACAUAACGCAUGCAAUUGUUCAUGUAAUCUACCAAAAUGAGAAACUAAUUUAUCUAACCUUUCUUUAAUUCUAGCAAAACAAUCAAAGGUUGCAUUAGCUAACUUUUCUAUAGCUAAAUCAAAGUGAUUAGAGAAUUUUUCUAUGGUUAGCUCCUAAGAUGGUUUAGAAUCAUUAGCUAAUGGUUCAUUUUCUAAUUCCCAAGAUAAAGAUGCAUUAGAUAACAUUUCUACUGCCAAUUCCCAAGAUGGUUUAGAUUCAUAUUGGACACAUUCAGGUUGGUAAUCAUAAGAACAUGGAGAAGCAAUAUUAACACUAUGAUUAUCCUAACCAUAUGCAUAAGAAUUGCCCCAACUAGAGUUGUUUUGAUCAAAACAAAAAUUAUAAUGCCCAAAUUCAUCAUAAUAAUCCACAUUUUAUACUUGCAUACAUUCAUAAGUAGUAUGAUACCCUCUACACAAGUCAUAAAUCACAUGAUAAGAAUUGAAAGCAUUGUCAUUUCUCUUUUGUUCAAGCAUGUUUGUUAUAGUGUCCAAUUGAAUUUUUAAUGUAAUAACAUCAAGUUUAGCCUUUAUACUUUUUAAACCGUUUUCAAAUGAUAUACCUUCGGUAAUUUCUCGAUUACCUCUAUUCAAGAACUUUGCCCGUGGUAACAAUUUAUUGUCGAUCUUCCACUUCUCAAGCAUUGUUCGCCCAUAAUUCCUACUCUUCUAGAGUUCCUAAACAUGUUUUCAAAGUAACUCAAAAACAUAUUUAGUCAAGAAGAAUAGAUGACUCAACAUAUAUAAAAUAUUCAAAUAAAGACUCAACUAGACACUAAACAUAACAAACAAGACACUAGACACAACAAAAACAUGAAAAACAAGUAAAAAUAUUGAGCAAAUCCACCCCAACAACGACGCCAAAAACUUGAUGAACGCGAGGUAUACAUAUAACAAUUAGCUUCCCACAGUCAAGUUUUACAUUUAUAAAAUCUUAAAUAUGCACACGUGAUUUUUCGCAAAUAUACGGGUUGUUUAUUGAGCAUAGGGGUAUUAGGUGUCGAUCCCACAGGGAAAAGUUUCAAUUAUCAGUGAUUUUCGAACUCCUUUAUUAUUUAAACUAUCACAAGUACAAGAAAUUAAAUCUACACUAUAAAAGUAACAAAAUACAAUAGAAAUCUCCUAGAGGUAUGGAAUUCCGUACUACUCUUGCAAAUGACAUUACCGAUUAAGUGAAUGCAUUAUCUUGGCUAAUUAUGGCAUAAUUUCCUAAUGUAUGCGAAACCUACUCUCGUAGUGAAUCAACUAUACUUGUAAUUAAGCCAUACCUACUCUCAUGGUUAUGAAAUUAACUACAAACUCAUUUUUUCUAUGAAAUUACAAGAAACAAGUCACCAAAGUCACAUAGGUGUUCCUCUACUCUCAUGAGUGAACUCUCUAGAUUUAUCACUUCCUUGAACUAGUGUUAAAUUUCAAUUCUCAUUGUAAAAUUAACAUCUUAAGAUUAUGCCAAUUAAUGGCCAGUUAAUCAUGAUUAGUUAAACAAAAGUGAUAAAUAACUUGUUUAAAAUAAUAUCACCAAAUAGUCAAGUAAAUAUUACUAAUAAGAUAUAACAAGUUCAUCCAUACUCUAGGCAUAAACUUUAGAAACACAUAAUGAAACACAAAUCCAAAACAUGUAUAUUAACCAUACUUAAGAAUCCAAUACAAAAGAUAAAGAGUUGGAGAAAAGAUAACACUUGUCACAUGAGUUUCAACCCCUCUUUCUUCAUCUCCAUCUUCAUUCUAAUCUAGCCAAUACACAAGGUGGAUAACACACAUAACUAGCUAAAGUAUUCUAUACUGUACUAACCUAACUAAUGAAUUAUGGAAAUUCUAAUGAAAACUACAUUUUUGAUGAGUUUCUCUAGCCUUCUAAAGUUUUUAAAAUGGUCUCCAAAGGCUGCUAUUUAUAGAGAAUUCAAGUUCAAAGUAAGUUGUUUCUUGAUUGGCAAAGUUGGCUUUUGAAUUCACCAAGAGUUAUUCUCCAAGUUUCCACACUCUUCUUGGUUAGAUAUAGUCGAAAGUCUGAGUUGUAGAUGAAUCGAAAAGGUUGUGUGAAUGCAAAGCAAGUUGCAACAGAAACCUAGAAUACGCGACCUAUUGUAUCCCACGUAUUACCUUUUGCAAGUUUGCACUUUUUGAGCAGAAUUCAUCAUUUCUCUGUUUUUUUUAUCAAACUUCAACUAAUGUUUUUGAGGAGGUUGUGAACCCCAGUUGAUAUUUUGGGUGGUUGUGAAUUCUAAAUAAAUUUUGGGGAGGUUGAACCCCAGUUUAUGUCUUUCUUAACAUAUGUACCCUUAGGAGGUUAGCUUUUGUUCGUAUUGAAUGUUUUGAAAAUCCAAAUUAUGUUUUGAUCUUAAGGCAAUUGGUGUGUUGAGAUUGAGCAAGUUGUGCACGCAAAUAUGCAAGAGAUGAUAAGAAUGGUAUAUUGUCAAAAAUCGUAGCAGUUUGUUUUCCUUUGUUUACUUGGUUAAACUUGAACAUUGUCGAACUUUAUUAUUCAUUUUUAAGUUUGCUAAUUUUUUGGAAACUCGUUUUAGUAGUUGUACAUGUCUUGUUUAAUAGAAAAAAGACAUGUUUUGUGUUCAAAAUACUAUGGGCACACACGAUUUUUAUUAGGCUUAUGAGCUUACAGUUUUGUUUUUGUUUUUGUUUUUGUUGUUUGAAAAAAAAAAUUUAGAUGUAUAGGAUAACUGAGUUCGAUUGAGACAAUCUGGUCUGUUAGGUCUCGAAAGUGUUAUUAAAAAUUAAUUGGACAAGAAAUAUCAACAUAUUGUACUUUUUUUUUUUUAAAGUCAAAAGUAUCGCCUUAGUUAUUGUUACCAAUUAAGUACGGCAAACACUUUUUCUCAUAUUUUGAGACUAAGUUGUCUAAAGUGUUUUUAAACACUUUUUUCCAAAUGAGCCUAAGAAUUUCUUAGGCUCAUUUGGAGCUGCCAUACUUUUGCUCAGAAAAUGUGUUUUUGGAGGAUAAAAGCACUUUUAAAUUAUUUGGUGAGCAUAAAUUCUUGAAUUAAAGAGGUAGAGCUUUUGACUAUUAAAACACUUUUUGCAUAAACUCAAAAUUGCUUCUUUUAGAGCAAUCUUUAUGUUUCAAAUGAAAAUUAAAGUUAUUUUAACGAUUCAAAGCUAGCCCUAUUUUUGUAUAGAAUUAUUAUUUAGCUAUUUCACUUUUCUAAAAUUAAAAUUGACCUCUAGUUUAUCUAUGAAUUCCAAAAUUGCCAAAUAAUUUUCUUUUUUCUUUUUUUUUGAAGAAACCAUUUUUUAAACUAAAAUAAUUGCACAAGUUCAAAUUUUAUAACUUCUAGUACUUUUUUUUUUUCAAUGUAUAGCUAUAUUCGUCUUAUCGUAUUAGAAUUUAAAAAUCAAGGAUUAAAAAACUUGAUUAGUUAUGGUGAAUAAAGGUGUGCUUUUGCGGGAUUGCUUUGGGGACCUUGGGCUGCACAAAGAUAGAAGAACAAAUUUGAAAAAUUAGUAACGCCAUAUUAACCACUAUGUAGUCCAAACAUUUUGUUAAAAUUUUGGAGCAGCAAAUGUUUUAAAAUACAUAGGUAUUUUUUAAAAUUUUAAGGAGAGAAAAACAUAAUUAUCUAAACUUGGGGGAGGGAGGGCAAAUGCACCUCCCCAUCCACCACCACCAACCCCCCCACCCCAAAAAAAAUCCAUCCAUAAAUGGUCCAAUAGAUCAGUCCAACAUUAAGCAAUGAUUCAUCCCCCAAACAGAAAGAUAGAAAAACAUAGCAUAAACUCUUGCAAAUGUGUGCAUUUGUGGGAGGUUUAAUCUUCAUAAGCUGAAGACAACACUUUCCAGUCUAACAACAUAACAAGUUUCAAAUUUUAUGAACAACCUAGGAAAACUAAUAUCCAUAAAGACUCCAGCCUUCACAGCAAGUGAAGACGAGUAAAGUCCAAAUAAGUAUAAUGUUUCACUGGCAGUGACAGUUCCGUGUCAUCAUAUGGAACACUUGACUGGUUCACAGCUAUGAGCAGGUUGAUUUAAACAUCAAGGAUGUCCACAGGAAUAACUAAUAAUGUCACAGUUGAUCUAUGAUAUUGGAGUAACCAUUUUAAGGGCCGUUAAAGCUGAGAACACCAUUUAAUAGAGAAUACCAUUUAAUGGAUUCUAGCCAAUGUCAGUUACAAUUAAGCUACAAAUACAAGAGUGAAACAGUAGCAAUCAUACUUUGUUUUGUGAAAGAGAAUACCAUUUAAUAGCCUGAUGCAACUUAUAAGCAAGCCAAAGAAUGCUAAAAAAAAUUCACCAUAACUAAUGCUUCAAUUGAAUGGGAAAAGAGCAUAAGUGGAACAUAAACAACUAAAUGAGGGAAUCAAAUCUACUCACCAAGCAUUAUCAAACAGGAAAUAGUUGAUGAGGGCUUACCACAGCUCCAAUACAUAGAUGGCUUGGUACUUUCUUGACUUCCCAAGUUUCCCCGCGACCAGACUAAUUUCAAAACUACCCGGCACAACCUGAUGCAAAAUGAUCAUAAGGAUUCAUAUGUAACCCAUUAAGAGAUGUUAAAAGGGUAUAUUUGCGUGAUGUACAUAAUACAUUUGGCCAAUUUAUUUUCUUGCAUAUUUAACAAAGCCCAAUUGUAAACUGUGUUACUUCCAAUACACGAACCAUUUCUUAACUUCGUUAAAAGCUCCCCCAAGAUAACAUGUAUAAUGUGGUUUGAUACCAUGUUGAACCCAAAUGUCAUUUAAUCAUGUUGAAAAAAUGAAUCAGUAAGCAAACCAUAUCCCAGAAAGCUACCAAGAAAAAUGUGCUAGUACUUCUAGUAAUAGGGAAAAUGAAAUUGUGUUGAAAAAAAAUACAAGUUGAUACAUUUGCAAGAAAGAAACCAGCAUAAUAAGGCAUCAUCAGUUUUUCUAGGUUAAAUAUUAUAAUGUAAAACAAGAAUGAUUAGAGUUGCGAAAUGACAAGGCAACUGGCUUGACAGCAAAUUUCAUAAAGAAAAACAUACCAAGAUAGGCACCAAAUGAGUAUGUAGAUUUAAGUGAUACAUGAAAAGUCCAAUCAAGGGAAGCAAGAUCCAAAAUGUAGAAGUCAAACUGUAUAAUGAAGUCACAAGUAAUGAGGGUAAAGGCAAGAAAACAAAUACUAGCUCAAAAUCACUUACAUCGAUAUCUUCUUCUUUGACCGAGUACUUUUUGAAAGUGUCCAAAGCUCCUCCAACAGUGGCUUUGUGACAAUUUCAUUGAAGCGAGCCACCACCUUUACACACAAAAGAAGACAAUCUCCAAAAUAAAAAAAUAAUCAAAAAAAUGCUUCACAACUCAAAAGAAAACCACAUGGAAGUCAAAACAGUGCCUUAGGUCAUUUCUCUUUGACAAACUCAAGUUGGAUACCAUACAACAAGAAUCAUCUAUAUUUUACAAGCCUGCAUUCUACUAAAUCUAUUGCAUCUUAUAUAGAACACCUAGUUAUCAUUAGAUGGCUCAAAACUGGGAUUGACCCUAAAAAUAUGGAAGUUUAACACUAGGAAUGAUAUUCUUAUUGAUUUUUGGGAAGUUGGACAUUACAUUCUACUGAAUUCUAAAAUGAACUCUAUCCAUACUCGGAAGCAGUCGGCCUAUGUUGUGGAUUGACUUAAUUUUGAUUCCAUAGGCAAGAUUUCCAUAUGAAUUGUAAAAGGAAUUUUGAGUGAGAGUGAUAUAUAGAUUUGCUACUUAAAAGAUGAAAACCUAGAUUGUGGAGUGAUUAUGGUGCCAUUCAAUAUUCUCAGGAUUUGGCUAAUUGUCACAAUGUGUUGACAUGUGAAAACAUGUCAUGUGUGAAUAUUCAUUUGAUUUCAGACUUUAGUUUUAGGGUGUAGGUUUUUUUUGACUGAUGGUAGAUGUCUUUUAGUAUGGAUCUGCUUUUUCUCGGUAUGGUUUUGCUAGUAAUAUAAGGUUUUGGGAAGCAAAUGAAAAUUUUAUAUUUGCGCUCUGUUUUCAAGUACUUUGAUAAGCUCUUUGGGCUAGGAAGCCUUUAAGGUCAUCAACUUAAUGGAUAACAGAGAAUCACCUACUUUUAAGAGCAUAAUCGAAAAUCUUAGAAAGUUUUGGGGGUUUAGUCAUUAAUGACAUGGUUAACUGCCUGUUUGCUAAGUUCUCAAGUAUUCGUGGUUUCAAAGAGGUUUUGUCCAACUUCCUAGAUUGGAACUGGCAACUUUCGGAUACUCUUCAAUCCUGAAUAUGUCACUUUCAUUAAAAAGUAAGACUAGCUUACUAAGACAGGGAGUUUGAGAAAGAGGAAGGUUGAUACAGCUGAAAGGAUAGUAGGUCAGGGAUUGUAGAGCUAUACAGUUUUUGCUUGUUAUAAAAUUCUACUGGUUUUGGAAUCUAAAACUUCAAUUUAUCCAGCUGCUGAGUUCUCAUUAAAUUUUCGCGUUGGAUUUUGACAACUUGAGAAUAAGUCUACCAUACUGAAUAUGCUUAGGGAAAAUAUUCGAGGGAAAAUGUACAUAGCUUUUUGAUGGGAAAUUAUUCUCUACCGCUACACUUCCUAUUAAUGGAGGGUUCUUGUAAUCUAAACUUGCUUCAGAUUGCUACUUUUUUCAAGAAAAUGACAAUUUUCCUGGACAACAACAUGGACAUGAUUUCUCCGCCCAAAUUAAGUGUCUUGCCGUUUAGAUUUCAACCAUAUGUGCUUCAGUUGGUAUAAAAGAGGUUGCAGUAUUGUAGAUAACCGUUUUUCAUAUCCAGACUUAAGUCAUGAGGUUUUUCAUGCGCUAGGGGCCUUGACCAUUCUUUGAUGCUAAUAUCAGCCUGAGUCCUGUCACGCCCUAGGCCCUUAGGCCCAAGAUGCGACCUGAAUUUCAGCAAACAAGUUCAACUAUUUGGUUUUCGUUCUCACCGGUCCAAAAUAGAUAUUUUAAAUUAGAUUCGAAUGCUCACACUCUAUUUGUGUAUUGCAUUAGUUUAUCGCACUAACUUAUUCGACGUGAGAUGGGAUAUUACAUUUAUCCCUCUUUUUUAGGCUUUGCGUCCUCUAACCCAAUCUCAUUUCGUAUAGAGGUUACGUGAGAUUCGCUCUAAUGCCAUAAUAUCACACCAAGACCAGAUCUCAGUAGCCAAGUCCAACUAUUUAGACUCCAUCCUUGUUAGCUCAAAGCAAAUAUUUUAAGUUGGAUUUGAAUGCUCAAAUCCUACCUCCGUGAUAAGCUUAUUCUACACACACACAUAUAUGCCAAAAAAUUAUAAAGCUUACCCUAUAAUGUAAAAGUGGAAAUGAAUAUAUAAACAGUAAUGAACAGUUGCAGUUGGAGUCUUUUGGUGUUGCCUGGGUUGGGCUUCUUUGGAGAUCGGUGAUGCCCAUGUGGAGCGGUGGGCAUGUGUAUACAUAAAAUCGCUACAUAAUCUUUUUUCUAAUUUUCUUUUUCAAUCUAAAUUACUCAUUUCUCACAGUAUGAGAUGCCUGCAUUUUUUUUAAUGUCAAAUCGUUACAUAAUCAUCUCCUUCAUACCUUUUUUUUUCUUCCGACCUAAAUCUUUUGCCUUCAUAUUUGCAACUUGUCCAGAAUAUAAAAGGCAAAAAGAUUCGCCCUUACACCUUUAGGAUGUCGAUCUCAAGUUUUGAAAUUAAUAUAAACAACAUGAGUGUUUUUCCAAACCACAAGUAAGGAAAUGCUCAAAGGUCUUGUAUGUCCAAAAAAAUUUGUUUGAUUGGGACAGCUAAAAUUGCUCGAAGGUCUUGCAUGUCCCAAAAAAAAAAAAAUCUAUAGCCAUGUUUGCACAUCUUGAUGACUUGAUUCUAUUGCCUCCGUUUGUGAUUUAGCUUUGCGUUUGGGGUUGGUUUUUCUUGGUACAAAAGUUGGUUUUAGUGCCUAGCGAGCGUCAAAUAUCUCAAUUUUUAUGACUUUUUUUUCAAGUUUUAUAAAUUUAAUCUUUUCUAUUUCAUAGAAACUAUUUUAUGCUACGUAUACAAAAGAGGAAUUUGUAUUUUGAAUAAAAAUUAUGUGUCAUGCAUCCAAACCUACUAAUGCAAAAAAAACAAAAAAAAAUCCACUAAACAUAACCCUAUUUAGGAAUACGUGUGACUCGAGGAUUAUAAUUCUAUUUAUAGAUAACUUUCCUAUUAUUUUUUAGAUUCCUAUUUCAACCCAUCAUAGAAAUAUAAAUUACCCUUAAAUAAAGAACCACAUCCUAUUAGAUACAUUAAAGUUCAAAGUAUGAUUGAUCAUUUUAAUUGAAUUUAAUCUUAUUUAACAAUCUAAGUUCAACGUUGGCUUAAAGAAGCAAUAAUUAAUGCUAUAUUAAGAAUGUUAGAUAACCUGAUUUCAAAGGUCUUGUUUCUCCGUACAGUGAGGAAAAAACACACACACAAACAUGACACAGCAGCAAAAUAACGAAUCGAGGUACCAGACGCAUGGCGUCCGGGCAGGCAAAACUAGUCUAUCUAUCAUUAUGCUGAAAGAAAGUGUGAGUUGCCUUAUGAACAGUGAAUGUGGACUGGUUAUUAGGGGUGGCAAUUCCUGACACAACCCGAAACACGACACGAACCUAACACGAAAUUAAUGGGUUUGGGUUGAGGUUUCGGGAGUUCGGGUCAGAAUCGGUCGACCCGAUGAACCCGAAAAGAAAACAGGUCAAUUUCGGGUCAACCCAUAGUGACCUGAUAUGACCCGAUGUGACCCGUUUACGAAUUAAAACUAAUUUAAUAAACAUAAAAAUUAUUUUAUCUAACUGAACUAAAUGAUUCUUUUUUUUCCAAAGGCAUUAAUUACUUAAUCCUAAAUGAAUUUAUUUAACUUGUGUGAAGUUAAAAUUAUUAUAUUUGGUUUGGGAUAAAACACUUUUAUGGUGUUUAAUUUAUUUUAGAUUUGGUUUGAAAUUAUUUAUUUAAAUUUUUAUUACUUGAUGAUGUAAUUAAUUUUGUGAAAAAUUGAUUUUAUUAGAAAUUAUAGUGAUAAAUUAAUAAAUUAAAAUUAAGUUUCGGGUCAUUUCGGGUCGACCCGCCAACCCGAAAUUUCGAGUUCGUGUCAGGUAUCCUGACCCAUUUUGGAUUUGACGGGUCGGGUUCGGUCAACAGAUUCUUUGUUUACACUUAAGCCGCAACCCGAACCCGACCGAUUGCCACCCCUACUGAUUAUGGCAUAAUUCCAGCAACUUGGUGGUCCUUUUGUUUUGUUAGCUACGCGUGAACUUCUUGGAAAUUGGUCCAGCCAUCUGUGCACCCUUGGAUUGCUUCCAAUUCAAAAUUUGACCAUCGAUCAUCAUUUAGGAACGUUAGGUGCUAGAGUUGAAACGGUGGAUGGUGGUCGUACGAAGAAGUUCUAGUGGGGGGACCUUGCUGCCUACGACUGAUUUUGAUGCAUCACGAAGAAGUUAAAGUGGGGGGACCUUGCUGCCGACUGAUUUUGAUGCAUCACGAAGAUGUUAAAGUGGGGGACCUUGUUGCCGAGUGAUUUUGAUGCAUGCAUGCAUUCCUUCAGACUGGGUUAAUGAAGGCAGCACGUACGUUCUUGGUAAUGAGUAUAGCUUUUUAUUGAUUUCUUGUUUUCCUCAGUAUACUGGUUGGACCCGUGUCCUCCUAGGAGGGGAUCGUCUUCAAAGGUAAGUUUCUUUUUUUCUUCCCUACUGAUUUCUUGCCUUCCUUAAUGUACUGGUUAGAACCGUUCGUUUGUGAUUUAGCUUUAUAUCAUAGUUGCGCCCUGGGUGUACCAUGUGUUUGUAAUAUUGUCCAUGUGAUUGUUAUUUUAUCUUGAGAUGUUCGGUUUGCUGCUGCUGCUGUGUUAAGCCGGAGUUAGUGAAUUUGGACUGCCCCGUUCAGUUCACUGAACGGUGAAGGGACAAUGCUUAGUUGGCCUUUACCCAUUAGUUGUUUUCAAUGUGAUGUCACGUACUGAUGAGAAAGAUAUGAACAAAUGUACAGGACAAGUUGGUCUACCACUAAAUAAGUGUAUUUUUUUUUUUGUCGAUACGAUAUCUUCUCACGCUAUAAGAAUGGAAGGGUUUGAAGAGAUCCAAGGGUAACUUAGAAAGAACUGAACCAUUAUCGGAUCAAAUAAAUGUAUUGUACAUCCGUUUGAAUUUUUUAAACAAAGCCACGCUAACUAAAUGAGUGUAUAGCUGCUAAUUUUACUGUUUUACAUCCAAUAACACUGCGACUGCAGAAUUUCUGUACUAUUUUUUUUUUGUCACGACUGCAGAAUUUCUGUACUACUUCGAUCAAAAUGUGCCACCCACUUACUGCAUGCUGGCUCAUUGCUCAUGAGAGCGUAUUCCGAAGUCUUGAAUGAAAAAAGGUAUACUUUCAGAAACUUCCCUGAGGUGUAUAACAUUUUCACUUGGUGCCCUUAAAUUUUGAAAAAUCUCGCUUGAUUUCCCUGCUUUAAACUUUUUGUAACAUUUGAAACCCGUUUCAAAAUAUAAUAUUAAAAAACUCAUUUUGGGAAAGAGAAUACAAUUUCGUUCCAAAUUUACCCUUUUGAUGUGAUUUUUUAAUUAUCAUAGCACAUCAAUUUUAUCUCUUAAUUUUUGUAAAUUGAUCAAUGUAGUUCUUUAAUAAAAAUUUAAAAGUUGAUUGUAAGAUUGAAAAACUCUUUAAUGUUUUUGUCUCAUUGGUUCGAACAAGAAAUACUAAUUACUUAAAUUUAUGAAUGAUUUAUAAUACACUUAGAGAUAACUAGCAACAAUUUACAACUAUAAGAAUACCUUUUGCACCAGCUUAAAGUAAGGCACAAACAAAUUUAUAUAUAAUUUUUAUGGUGUUGUAUCUUUUACUUUCAAACCAUCGACUUGGAAAAAAAUUAGAAAAAAUAAAAAAUAUGCAAAAGAUUUACAAAACUUCUUAAAUUAACUCAAAACACUUACAGUAAAAAACAUUAUCUUUAUAACUUGCAAAAAUUUCAAAUAAACUUUAAAAUAUUAACUUUUGGUAUUCAAAAAAUACAAUAUAUUUUGUCCAAUCAAAAUAAGCAGUCAUACAUUUUGUUUUUGUUUUUAUUUGUUAAUAAUAUACUUACUCUUUUGGGAAUAAAAAGAAAGACAACAAAAAAAAUCAAUUUGGAAUGAGGGUAUAUUUUUAAUCUGCCAAAAUGAAUUCCUUAAUAUUACAUUUUAAAACGAGUUGUAAACGAUAUAAAAAGCUUAAAAUAAAGGAGAUGAGUGGGAUUUUUUAAAGUUUGAAGGUGACAAACGAGAUUGUCAGCUAAACUUGCAACCUUUAUGUAAAAUCCAAAACCUUUAUGUAAACAGGACAGCUUGCCAACUUGCAAAGGUUAACUAAUUGAACGCCACCAAUUUCCCAUGUUGUUGGAAAUUACGCUAUAAUCGAUCCAUUGUGCACAAUGAUUGUUUACAACUUUACAACUUCUUGUUUAUUUGGUAAUACAUUUGAUAUCAAUAGCAAGUUAGUAAGCAACUUGAUUACCACAAUUUUUUUAUUAAAAAAAAGUACUUUUAUAUGGAGAAAGGCAUUCUGCUUCGCUUUUUUUUUUUUAGGGAAUUUUGAUUGUUACUUCUUAUGAAAAAUAUUAAUGCGCUAUAUAUUUUGGAGCAACAGCCAAUAUGAUAUAAAAUCUGAUAUUAAAUUGAUCACAAGGUGCAAAAUUCAUAGGAAUUUUAGAACAAUGCCAAAAAGGCUCCCACUACUAAAGUUUAUACUAAUAAGUUUGCCCCAAAUUACUCUCUACAUCCACAACGAAUAUAACGAUGAUCUUAAUCAUGCGUAGGCCUCAUAUACAUACGACUGGAGGUCAGGUUUUUUGCCCCUCCUACAUUAUAGUAAACUACCCCAUCUGGGAUUAACCAAAAAGAUAAAAAAAAAAAGAAAAAAAAAUCAUAUGUGGGCUGGGUCCAAACAGAGAUAGAGAAAGUCCAAUGUUGGAUUGCAAAGGUCUUAUUUCUCCGUGCAGUGAGGAAAAAACACAGGCACAAACAUAACACGAUAGUAAAAUAAGGAAUCUCAACUAUCUGAUGCAUGAAGUCUGCGCUGCAAAACCAGUCUAUCUAUCAUUAUGCUGAAAAAAGACAAGUUGGCUGUUGAAAAAAGACAAGUUGCCUCAUGAGUAAAAGGGAGUUUGGGUGGUAGUAUAAUAAUAGCUAUUCGCUUAGGUUCCCCCUUAGGUAGCUUAUCCCACGUCGGGGUUGGGGUUUGAUUGGGUUAUAAGUCCCCGGGACAUGCUCAAGAGUUGCCGACUUUUGAGUAUUAUUCUGGGAUUAGGUUUACAAUUCAACAAAAAGUCUAAUUCAGGCUGUUGAAAAAAAAAAUCAUUAUGCUGAAAGUGUGAGUUGCCUUAUGAACAGUGAAUGUGGACUGGUUAUAGCAUAAUUCCCAGCAACUUGGUGGUCUUCUGUUCUGUUAGCUACGCGUGAACUUCAAGAAGACUGGUCCAGCCAUCUGUGCACCCUUGGAUUGGUUCCAAUUCAAAAUUUGACAGCUGAUCAUCAUUUAGGAACGUUAGGUGCUAGAGUUGAAACGGUAGGUGGUGUCGUCCGAUGCAGUUAGUGGAGGGCCCUGUUGCCGACUGAUUUUGAUGCAUGCAUGCAUGCAUUCCUGCAGACUGGGUUAAUGAAUGCAGCACGUACGUUCUUGGUAACGAGUUUCGCGACAAAAUCACAUGAACAGCUAGGUAUCUUCUUUGCUGCAGCUUUUUAUUAUUGAUUUCUUGUCUUUCCCAGUGUGCUGGUUGGACCCGUGUGCUAGGUAGGUAACUUCUUCAAAGCUAAGUUUUUUUUUUUUUUUUUUUUGCCGAUUCUUUUGUCUUCCUUAGUAUACUGGUUGGAACCGUAGGUGUGCUCUGGCAAACAGUUUUGUGAUUGUUAUAUGCUCAGCUCUGGUUAGAAGCACCAUAGUUGCGCCUGGGUAUACCAUGUGUUGUAACAUUGUCCAUGUGAUUAUUACAUUAUCUUGAGAGGAGAUGCUUGGUUUGCUGCUGCUGUUGUGUUAAGCCGAGUUAGUGAAUUUGGACUGCCACACUCAGUUCACUGAAAGGUGAAGGGACAAUGUUUAGUUGGCCUUUACCCAUUAGUUGUUUUCAAUGUGAUGUCACGUACUGAUGAGAAAGAUAUGAACAAAUGUAUAGGACAAGUUGGUCUACCACUAAAUGAGAGUGUAUUUUUUUUUUUUUUUGUCGAUAUUAUAGCUUUCUAUACGGGGAGGGAGAGGAUCUGAAGAGGUCUAAAGUAAUUCGAAAGGAACUGAAUCACCACCGAAGCACACGAAUAUACUAUUACUUUUACUGUUUUACAUCGCAAUAGCACUACGACUGCAGAAUUUCUGUACUACUUCAAUCAAAAUGUGCCACCCACUUACUGCAUGCAUGCUGGCUCAUUGCUCGUGAAAACCUAUGGUGAAGUCUUGAAUAAAAAAAAGUAUUCUUAUAAUUUCAGAGACCUCAUUUCAGAGACCUCCCCUGAGGCGUCUAACAUUUUCACUUGGUGUUCUUAAAUUUUGAAAAAUCUCGCUUAAUUUCUCUGCUUUAAACUUUUUGUAACAUUUGAUAUUAAAAAACUCAUUUUGGGAAAGAGAAUCCAAUUUCGUUCCAAAUUUACCCUUUUCAUGUGAUUUCUUAAUUAUCAUAACACAUCAAAUUUAGCUCUUAAUUUUUGUAAAUUGAUCGAUAUAGUUCUUUAACAAAAGUUGACUGUAAGAUUGAAAAACUCUUUAAUGUUUUUGUGUCAUUGAUUCGAACAAGAAAUGCUAAUUACUUAAAUUUAUAAAUGAUUUACAAUAUUCUUAAAAACAACCAGUAAUAAUUUACAACUACGAGAAUACAUUAAUUUGUGCACCAGCUUAGAAAAAAUACAAACAAGUUUAUGUAUAAUUUUAUGAUGUUGUACACUUUUACUUUUCAAACCAUUGACUUGGAAAAAAAUUAAAAAAAAUCUAAAAUAUGUAAAAGAUUUUCAAAACUUCUUAAAUUAACUUAAAACACUUCACAAUAAAAAAAUAUUAUCAUUAUAACUUGCAAAAAUUUCAAAUAAACUUUAAAAUAUUAACUUUUGGUGUUCAAAAAAUACAAUAUAUUUUGUCCAAUCAAAAUAAACAUUCAUCAUUCAUUUUUUUUGUUUUUAUUUGUUAAUAAUAUGCUUACUGUUUUGGUAAUAAAAGGAAAGACAGCAAUAAAGCAAAUUUGGAAUGAGAGUAUAUUUACUCUCCCAAAAUGAAUUCUUUAAUAUUACAAUUUAAAAUGAAUUGUAAAUGAUAUAAAAAGUUUCAAGUAAAGAAGAUAAGUGAGAUUUUUUAAAGUUUGAAGGUGACAAAUGAAAUUGUCAGAAACCUCAGUGGAGGUUGAGGUGAGGUUUCUGAAAUUAUCCCUAAAAAAACUCCUAGUACAAAUGGAAAAGGACCCCUCUAUUAAUUUGUCCUUUUUUUUUUUUUGGUCAAAAUGGUACCCUAUUUGAGUACGGUCGAAAAUAGAAACAGACAACAUAUUCCAUGGUAAAAUCCCAACUUUUAUGUAAACCGGACAGCUUGCCAACUAAUUUCCCACGAAGUUCGCGUGCACCCAGUGGACUACACCUGACAAAACAAAAGACCCCCAAGUUGCUGGGAAUUACGCUAUAAUCGAUCCUUUGUGCGCAAUGAUUGUUGUGUAUAACUUCUUGUUUAUUUUGUAAUAUAUUUGAUACUAAUAGCAAGUUAGUAAGCAACUUGAUUACAACAAAUUGAAAAAAAAAAGUAUUUUUAUUUUGGUUGGUAAUUUUUGAAGUAGAAGUAAAUAUAGAUUUCAGCAGGUACUGUCUGUUUAAGUUAUUCCUUAGUGUUUUUCUAAUUUUUAUGCUUGUGUGACAAAAGUUGAAUCCUUUUUUGCUUUGGGAGAUUUCUCCUGAGUUUAAAAAAAACCACUUUGUUUUCAGGGUGUAUUGGAUGUAUCCAUCAUUAAUCUUGGUUGUUGGGAAUGGUAAAGAACAUUUAAUGUCCAUACACAAUUUCGAGGUACAAAGUAGUAUGACAUAUAUAUUUACAAACUUCCUUUGGUGAUAUGCCAGGCAACCCGCCACUGGCACUUUGGCCUGGGGUUCAUUGUCAAGCACUCAAGUCUCGAUAGCAUUGGAAAGUGAAAGAUUUAACCCUUGCCAAAAAAAAAAGAUAUGCCAGGCAACUUGACUGUGGUUCAUCUUGAUGUUACGAGAACUAAUGCAACAGUUUUUUCAAAAUAUUCUACAAUUGUAACAACAAAAGUCUUACCAAACUCCACCACAUGCCCAUGUCCAUCUCACAAAAAAUGAUAGUAUAUUAUUGUGUGCUAGUUGAAUUCCCAUGAAAAUUCGAGCAGCUUCCACCACAUGCACAUGGAUUUCCAUCUCUCGAAAAAGGUGUAUUAUUGUUUUUUUUAUAUAAUCCACAGAUAUUCGUAUCUAUUUUACUGUUUGUUCUAGUUAUGGUACGUAAUUAAAAAAUGGCAAUAAAUAAGUUCAGGAUAACUAAUUAAAUAGGAUUAAUGAUAUUUCUUACCUGAUUAAACACUCUAAGUGCCCUUACAAAAUACAGUCACAAAAUGACACCAAUUGAUGCUCCAAUAUGACGCUAUUUUGUGAUUGACAGCACUUGAAAGGGCAAUCCAAAUUGUAUAUUAUUUGUAUAGAAGAGAAGUAGAAGCAAGAAAAAUAUAAGAGAAAGAAACCUCUAGACAAUACUCCAUAAGAGAAUAAGUUCUAGUGGUUUUGGUUGACCUCACUCUAUCUUAAGCAUUCAUGAAAUGGAAGGAGAAAGAAAGCAGAAAUCAAGGCAAAAUCUAAGGAUUUUUUUGUUAAAAAUUUGUGACAAUCAAAAAAUAAUAGGUAAGCAAUCUUUUAUCAUUUCAAAUUAAUACAAAAAGUUUCUUUAGUAAAGGAGAGUUUUUGGAGUUGGAUGUACACUUUUAUACGUUUUAGAAUCUCAGAUUUCUGAACGUAUGUUCGUUGCUUCUUCUAGUUGUUGCUACUGUACUUGUUUUAUUUACCCUUAUAUCCUCUUCGGUUUCACUAACUGGUUCCACCUUUUAAUGUUUUUCAUUCUUUUACUAAUACAACCUCACAAGAAACAAAAAGGGUAUAAAUGGAAUAACAUUAUUAUCUCACUUGUCAAAAGAUUUUUUUUUUAAUGACAUUUUCUUUGACAUAGGCUGAAUCUGCUAUCAAAAUUUUAAGUUCAAGGGAAGUUAGUGCUAUUUUUAAAACCCCAGUAAAGGUGAGUGCAACUACUAGAAACCUCAAGGGAGGUUUCUGCAAUUAUCCCUUAAAUAAAAGUUGACUGGGAAGACCAAGUAAGUCGUCAAGACCAGCUGUAGCUAGAAAAGUAGUAGUGCUAUUUGCAGCCAAAUAUCCAUUCCAAAUCAUAUUAGUAGUAUUCUAUCGUUGCAACGGCUGAAUUGUUUGUUCCAAAGAUAAUAGCUGAAUUGGGUGAUGGUGUCCUGAAGCAGCUCGGGAAGAAGGUUAACCUGGUGAUGGGGGUUGAAGAAAUGGAUGUCUUUGACUGUGGUUCAUCUUGAUGUCACGAGAACUAAAGGAACAGCUCAUUCAUAUAUUCUACAAUUGUAACAGCAAAGUAUAAUAUUUGUCUCACUCUGGUCUUUUAAUUAAUGUACAAAAUCUAUCCAUUAAGUGUUGUGAAUUGUGUUGAAUCGUGGCCAUUAAGUGUUGCAAUUUAUUAUUUGGAUUAUGUGUACAUUUUUUGUCAUUGUGCACACUUAGUAAAAUAAUGAUUGGAUUUAUGCUUUUCGUCAAUUAUUCUGUGUAUUGUUUGUCACUGACAAGAGCCUAAAUAGUUCAUUAGUUAUAAAAAUAAUUAAAACACAUCAAAACUAAUUAAUAAAACACACUAAAAACAUGUAAAAUACACACUUAUCAUGUGCCAUACAUCCAAAGUUGCACAUGUCGCUUGAGGAUCGUUUUUCCUUCACAGACAAAUUGAUGAACUGCACUAGGGGAUCUGCUACUUCUCAACUUGACAUACAAAUGCGUGAACUACCACUCUGAACUCUGAACUUGCAACAGAAUGUUGGUAUUAAAUUGUACACAGCUUGACAUACAAAUGCCUGAAGUACCACUCUGAACUUCCAAUAGAAUGUUGGUAUUGUAUUGUACACGACUAUGCUUGUUUCUUGUGUAUCACAAAGAAAGUGGUGAAUCUGCACGUAAAGCAGUAUAUUACUUAUGGUACUCCAAUUUUAUCAGCACCAUUAGAAUGAUUUACUUUUAAGAAGAUCCUAUAUCAAACGACAUACAACUUAUAUGAUAAACACAAACUAAAUAAUGGUUUACUUCCUUAAUUUUAGAAAUUCUCAUGUUUGUAUCCCUCACUUAAACAUGUCAUGAUUUUGAUUAUAUUUCUGUUGGUGAAUUAUUAUUUUUAGUUCAUUUUAUCCUGUUGUGAUUUAGUGUUCUUCAGUUAAAACAAAUUAAUACAUAAAUCUCCUCGACUAUUUUGGGUGAAAGCCUAACAAUAAUUGCCACAUGCUGUUUGAAGAAACUAUAGAAAUCAGAAGAUUUUACACUUAGUCGGCGGAAUGCACUCAAACAAUAAGUCAAUAUGUUACUUUGUAUGAUUUAUGCAGGCCACAGAACACCCAAAAGAAAUACCCUUUAAAUUUUGGAUUGCAUGCAAUUGCUUGGGAAGUUUGAGAUGAUUUACAUAUCUCCUUGUUAUUUUGAAGUUAACAUGGAUUCUAGGCAUGCAAAUGAGUUGGUUCUAACAUUCAGACCUACUGAAUUUUUUUUCAUAAUCACACCAAAACAAACCCUCAUGAAUUUAAUGCUAUUAUAGUAAAAUUAGUCAUGCAUGUGUCGGAAUAAAAAUUUUUGUUUAGGAACCCAUCCAAAUGGAUCACCGAUAAUACUAAUUUCAUACUGUCUCUCUAUAGCUUUUUUAGUACAAAGGUAUGACUUGAUAAAAUUCAGUUGAUAUAUAAUUUCCAUUCCGGAAUCUAGAACGAAUGCAGUUGUUGAACUUAAUGCACAUGAGGAGCCCAGGCAUUUAUGUGUAGAGAUCAACAAUCAAAUCAUUAGUCUUGGACAAUAUACGUAACCACUGAUUUUAGUGGCUUUUUAUCCUAAAUUGACUUUGCUAUUUUCUUUGAGACUUAUAAACUGUAUAAAUUGCUUAGAUAUAGCCAUGAUACUGUAUAUAUGAGAAUUCUUUUUGGGCUUCUUUUGCAAAUGUGGCAUACCUGAGUCUAAAUCCUAGUUUAUUAUGUGUGAAUAUAUUCAACAGUCCCUCUUAGUCUCUCCACCACCUGCUAAUUUUUUAUGUUGUUAUCCUCUCCCAGCGACCUUAUUUAAUUUGCCAGACAAUUUGGUACAUCUUGAAGGAAUGGGCAGCCCACAUAAUUUUCCAAAUAAUUCUUCUGCUACUUCCAGGAUGCCUUAAAUCCAAUUUCCAGUCUUUGAAGAACUUUAGCACUCUUCAGGGAGUACUCUGUCAACUUGUACUGAUAUGUUUUGGCCAUCAAUAUUAGAAGAAUGGGACCCUCUUAACUUGAUCAGUAAAAUCAAGAAAGAGGUCUCUUUUGCUUUUCAUUUUUAAAGUGAUAUCAGCACAAAGCCUAUAGUCAGUCAAUACUGUAUCAUACAGGUAAGCACUUUGUGUAGUUUAUAUUUUUUGAAUGGGUCCUUGCAAACUAGUCUUGCACUUGCAGUCUUGUUCGGGAGCUGCAAGAUGUUGACUACGUUCAAAAAGAAAAGAAAAAGAAAAUGUUGGUUGGCCAAGUUGAGAAAAUCAGGUACUGGUAAAUAUGAGUCAAAUGUUCAUUUCUUUCAGAUCACGCUCAAGAUGAAUAAUUAUUGGGUCCUCAAAUUCAAGGAGACAAAGUCCACUUCAUUAAAUUUUUUCAAAAAUGAAACAGCUACCCGAGAUUUCUCGGAAUAUUUAAGAAAUCUUCUCCCGUUGACGGAUUUAAAGAGUUAAUAAUUAUGCUAUUCCUCCCUGCUACUGAUCAAGACUACCGUAUGAUUAGAGGAUGCAUAGUAUAAAUCAAGACUGGCGAAGAAUGGUGGCUACUGAGUUUUACCAAGUUGGUCUUCUGCAACUUAAUCAGGCAAGUCGUCUUACGAAUUUAACAGAGUUGCAUGGUUAUAAUUUCUUCCCGAUCUCUUCCGGUCGCUUUCUAUGUCUUUUAAAUUUGAGCUGAUUUUGAAUUUCAAUUACCUCUAACUUAAGUUUUAAUUUUUGGGCAUACAACACUGUGCACUUCGCAAGUUUCUGAGUAGAUGUAAAAAAUACUUGAUUCUUAUUCUAUUGUCUACUAAAAAUGGUUAGAGACGAUUUAUGACAAGCAGAAAAGGCCAUGAACUUCCCAUAACUGCAGAAUAUCCAGUUCUUGUGAGGUGGUAUCCGUUAAAAUUGAUAGCUUGAUGCUGGGAUGGGAUGCAGAGCUAGGAUUAAAAGGUUAAUUAGUUGGAAUUUUACACUUGGAGAACGUAUAUUUGUUGUACGACAGAUAGAAAUGCUUGUCUGUAUGCAGAUUGUAUGAGAUGAUUGUGGCUACAAUUGUGGUUUUUGUUGACUGAUUCUUUUGUUUUAUUCACAAUUUCACUAGGUAGUUUCUAGCGUACGACUGUAAUAUACUGUCAUGGGCUUGAAUUCUCCGGGGACAUCUUCAGAGACGAAAAAGAUGUUUGUAAGAGAAGAGAUCACUAACGAAGCACAAGACCGAAUAAGCCAAUUACCUGAUGCAAUUCUGUGUCACAUCCUCUCCCUUCUUCCGACUAAAUUAGCAGCACAAACUGGUAUUUUGUCUAAACAAUGGAAGAACGUUUGGCUUUCAAUACCUGCUCUUGAAUUUCAGAUCAAUCUACGGGCAAAUUAUGAGGGUGAAUGGAGUGCCUUUGAUUGCUUUGCAAAGCCUAAAAUUGAGAGUUUUACAAAUUUUCUGGAUCGACUUUUUGCAAUUCGUGACACUUCAGGUAUUAAAAAGUUCAGAUUGGUAUGUGAUCAUCAGGUUGACUCUAGAUGCCUCAAUAAUUGGUUGUCUGCUUUGCAUAAUGUUCAAGAACUUGAUCUCGAUUUGUGGGAGCUCGGGGAGUUCCCUUGGAGUCCCUUCACAAAUAACUCGCUGGAAAUCUUGAAACUGAGUUGCAAUGUUUUGCUCAACAUCCCAUCUUCUGUUUCUUUUCCACGUCUUAAGGUUCUUCAUCUUCAUUCAGUCACAUAUGUGGGCGGCGCAUCGGUUGAAAAGUUACUUUCUUCUUGUCCAGUCCUUGAGGAUUUGCAGAUAUCAAGGGGGCAGUGGGAUAACGUUAGGAAUUUUGUGAUUGCAGUCCCUUCAUUGAAAAGGUUGACUUUGGACUUCAGUACACCUGAGAUGGACUUAUAUGAUGGCGAUGAUUACGAAGAUGGUGUUGAGUACAAACUGAUAAUUACUGCACCAAAUUUGGAGUAUCUAAACCUGAUUGAUUAUAUGUCAGAUUCAAUUCAGGUCAGUUCCAUGACCAGAGUAACUGAAUCACGCCUUUCUGUUUACAAAAUCUUAACAUGUGUUCAGCGGACAGCCGAACAAACAAGUAAUUAUGAAAGCAAUGUGCGUGAAAUAUUUCGAAGCAUCCCAAAUGUCAAGCACCUAACAAUAGGCGAAUUUACCAUGAAUGUAAGCCAUGACUCAAAUUCCAAUCCUGCUUAUUGCUUUCUAAUUGUUAUACCAUCAAUUGCUUUCUUGGUCACAACUUAUAGCUGUCUUCAUACGUUUGCAGUCUUUGGGUGAAUCUCUUGAUAGCAGGCUGCCAGUGUUUCAGAACUUGGUCCACCUGGAGAUCAGUUUUUAUGUAGCGAACGGCGCUAUACUGCUGCCAAGUUUGCUCAAAAUCUCUCCUAAACUGGAAAGCCUUAUCUUGCCUCAGGUACAUUACAUAAGAGACUUGCACAAUUUUGAGAGAAAUAUGGUGAGCGUUGAGCACUCCUGUUUUCUUUUGACCAAAAGUUGAUUUGUUUGUAAUUUUUUUUCCCUAUGUCCUGGAUUUCAGGGGAUUACCAGUCCAAAUGUAAUCGGGUGGUUUAACCCUGAGGAGAAUCAAGUUAAGCCUCCGCAAGACGUACCUGAAUGCCUGCUAUUUAGCCUGAAAAAUGUGGAAAUUUCGUGCAUUACUGGAAGAGUUGAGGAAGAGGUGGAGUUGUUGAUAUAUCUUCUGGGAAAUGCAAUGGUUCUAGAGAAGAUGACGAUUUGGUACGAAGAAUAUUAUGUUUCCGGUGGACCGAUGGAUACUACUAAUUAUCCAACUGCCCGUCGGGUGCAGGAUCGUUUAUCUUUCACCGACAAAUUGAUGAACUGCACUAGGGGAUCUGCU
RNAcentral lists this long non-coding RNA (32015 nucleotides) under Coffea arabica (coffee). RNAcentral describes it as "long non-coding RNA (CARA_LNC000046)". Lineage: Eukaryota; Viridiplantae; Streptophyta; Magnoliopsida; Gentianales; Rubiaceae. The record is from RNAcentral.